AUACGGAGGAUCCGAGCGUUAUCCGGAUUUAUUGGGUUUAAAGGGUGCGUAGGCGGCCUUUUAAGUCAGCGGUGAAAGUCUGUGGCUCAACCAUAGAAUUGCCGUUGAAACUGGGAGGCUUGAGUAUGUUUGAGGCAGGCGGAAUGCGGGGGGUAGCGGUGAAAUGCUUAGAUAUCAAGCAGAACCCCGAUUGCGAAGGCAGCCUGCCAAGCCAUGACUGACGCUGAUGCACGAAAGCGUGGGGAUCAAACAGGAUUAGAUACCCUGGUAGUCCACGCAGUAAACGAUGAUCACUAGCUGUUUGCGAUACAGUGUAAGCGGCACAGCGAAAGCGUUAAGUGAUCCACCUGGGGAGUACGCCGGCAACGGUGAAACUCAAAGGAAUUGACGGGG
RNAcentral lists this ribosomal RNA (393 nucleotides) under uncultured bacterium. RNAcentral describes it as "partial 16S ribosomal RNA". It matches the Rfam family "Bacterial small subunit ribosomal RNA", at positions 523 to 918 of the family's 1533-position model. The record is from RNAcentral.